This 449-nucleotide ribosomal RNA is filed under the name uncultured bacterium. Its description in RNAcentral is "partial 16S ribosomal RNA". It matches the Rfam family "Bacterial small subunit ribosomal RNA", at positions 29 to 523 of the family's 1533-position model. The record is from RNAcentral.
AGCGAACGCUGGCGGCAGGCCUAACACAUGCAAGUCGAACGGAUCCUUCGGGAUUAGUGGCGGACGGGUGAGUAACACGUGGGAACGUGCCCUUUGGUUCGGAACAACUCAGGGAAACUUGAGCUAAUACCGGAUGUGCCCUUCGGGGGAAAGAUUUAUCGCCAUUGGAGCGGCCCGCGUCUGAUUAGCUAGUUGGUGAGGUAAGGGCUCACCAAGGCGACGAUCAGUAGCUGGUCUGAGAGGAUGAUCAGCCACAUUGGGACUGAGACACGGCCCAAACUCCUACGGGAGGCAGCAGUGGGGAAUCUUGCGCAAUGGGCGAAAGCCUGACGCAGCCAUGCCGCGUGAAUGAUGUAGGUCUUAGGAUUGUAAAAUUCUUUCACCGGGGACGAUAAUGACGGUACCCGGAGAAGAAGCCCCGGCUAACUUCGUGCCAGCAGCCGCGGUAA